Molecule: transfer RNA, 95 nt
Filed under: Aureimonas glaciei
Lineage: Bacteria; Pseudomonadati; Pseudomonadota; Alphaproteobacteria; Hyphomicrobiales; Aurantimonadaceae
Description: tRNA-Pro
Source: RNAcentral
UCCUUGAUGAGGCGCAGGAUACCCACGGCGACCAGCUUCGGUUGCUGGAGCACGUCUUCAAGCAAGACGGAGCGGCGUUCCAGCGCCUCGGGGAC